UUGAUUAAAAUCUUUUGGUGGUUGUUUGGAAUUGAAUCGUGUGUAAUAAAUGGUUAGGUUAGUGUUAGAUUAUGGUUGGUGUUAGUAAUAAAUAGAAGUGAUGAAUGAGUUAGAUAAAGGUCUAGUAUAUUUGUUGGGUUAUGAAUUCACUCGAUGGUUGUUAGAUAUAUGUCUAGUCCUAAGUAUAUUUAUUAUCAUAUAUUCAA
Molecule: long non-coding RNA, 206 nt
Filed under: Brassica napus (rape)
Lineage: Eukaryota; Viridiplantae; Streptophyta; Magnoliopsida; Brassicales; Brassicaceae
Description: long non-coding RNA (BNAP_LNC020897)
Source: RNAcentral